CAACGUCUGACAGACUCAGUGAAGUCGUUUCCUCUCAUUGACCAGUUGAGGCGUCGCUUCCUCUAAAUGACUUCAUCAAAUAUUUUUUUUUUCUGUUCUCUCAACUCUUCAUUUUAUUAAAGAUGUAACGUUUUAACUCCAGGAAAAAAUAAAAUACUUCAACACGUGAUGGUGACGAUAGGAAACAAACAGCAAAACGUUUAUUUACUGUUUAUCAGAAAACAAAGAGGCUCGAUGACGUUUGACAUCACAUCAACUGUGUGGAGGGAGAGAAGUUAAGUCAAGUUACUGAUCUGAGAUCAGUUCUCAUUAUAGCUACAAACACAUGUUUGCGUGUGAGCUGAGUGGAAACGUUAAACUAAGAAGCUGAUAUCAUCACAUAAAACGGACGUGUGGUUAACACCUGAAUGUUUAACUUCAUGUUUUUAAGAAACGAAAAGUUUACGUUUAGAGGAAGCGACACCUCAACUGGUCAAUGAGAGGAAACGACUUCACUGAGUCUGUCAGACGUUGAAGAAGAGACGAGAAGCAGGAUGGUUGAACUCAGAUGGAUUCAAGCGUCUUUAGUUCUGGUUCUGAUGCUUCACGUCACAGGAAACAAAACACAAACUGAUGAGAAACGCGGUGAGUUUGAACCAACACAACCACUGAAUCUAACUUUCAGGAACUAAAACCUUUGUUGAGCAGUGACUCCGUUUUGUUCAUUUCUGUCACGUUAGUCCUUCUGCUCAGUUGGAGCUGAGUCUCAUUUAAGUCAGUUCAGUGGACGCGCUCUGAACCCAUGUCUCUGUGUGUAGGUUGAUCCUGAGGGUGGAGUUCAUUACGCCUCCAUCCGCUACAGCAGGAAGCUCCGAUCUAAAGCCCGGGUAGGAGCUAAGGUACUGAACUAAGAAGUGCUUUCAGUCCAGUUAUUACAUUUCUCUCCACAGUCAUUAAGUCAUUAAUUGUUCUGAUUCCUGUCUGUCAGUCACUGUUUAUUCUCUGACUUGUGAUUAAUGACGUUUCCCUUCAGGGUAAACGAGCUGAUGAUGAUGAUGAUGAUGAUGCUGUGACCUACGCUUCCUGCUCCACUGAUCCCAGCCUCCUCUACGCUACCAUCAACCAACCAUGAGAGUUUGUUAUUGUGAGCUCACGAGGGUCCAGCUUAUUAUUACAGGUUUAUUAGUGCAGGUGUUGUCUAAUUGUGCUGUUUCUGGCUUAACCUAGUUGCCAAACGAUAAUACACUGAUUCUAAUCAAUCAGGGACCCAGUCCUGGUCCCUGAGGACCUCCGUUCCACUCGCAUGCUGUGGUGUUUUUACUGUGUGAGCUUCCACAGAACCAGAUUCAGCCAACGCCUCUAAACCUGGUGCAGCUUUGCUCACAUUCACACCAUCCACAGCCUGGCUGCAUAUAGAAACCACUGACACCCCCUCCUCCUCCUCCUCUUCCUCUUCGCUGCCUGUGAACAGGUCUUAUCUGAUGCCCCCAUGAUGUCAGUCGUACACUAGGCCUUAUUUUACAUCUGAUCAUUAGCAUGAAACCUCUUCUUUCUGAGGCUGAGCAAAUAAAUUGUCGGUGGGAAAGUAGAGACUGUGACGU
Betta splendens (Siamese fighting fish) is the source of this 1580-nucleotide long non-coding RNA. The record is from Ensembl. Lineage: Eukaryota; Metazoa; Chordata; Actinopteri; Anabantiformes; Osphronemidae.